ACAGGUCCUUCUCAAAAAAUUUGCAUAUUGUGAAAAAGUUCAUUAUUUUCCAUAAUGUAAUGAUAAAAAUUAAACUUUCAUAUAUUUUAGAUUCAUUGCACACCAACUGAAAUAUUUCUGGUCUUUUAUUGAUUUAAUACUGAUGAUUUUGGCAUACAGCUCAUGAAAACCCAAAAUUCCUAUCUGGUAUAUUGAUUUAAACCGCUAUCAAGCUAAUCCAAAGAAAGUGUCCAAAAACUUAACUUAACUUAAAAAUCUUAACGAAUUGUACGCGCUUGAGACCCAUAGUUUUUCAAAUGUUUUCUUGAACUUUGCGUUAAACUUCUUUUAACAAAGUCUGUGUGUAGCAGGUGAAUUAAAGGCUCACAAGCGACUAAAAAUAUCCAAGGAAUGGGUCUUCAUGAACAGAUUACCGUUUCCCUGGCAGAAUCUGAUUUCUGCAUGUGUGAACACACCAUACCCAGCUAACACCGUUUCUUCUGCGACAGCGUUUGAGUGACAUGGACCAGCCCCUCUGCUUCAGCUCUGCAGCAUUUACACACAGGGUUACCAUGGAAACUCAUCCCCCGGACCCUCAGACCCCGCUCAGCCUGUCUACACCCUGCAAAACCUUCAGGAGAGACUCAGGAGUAACACGUCACAGAACAGAGACACCCACUCAUCUAAACACACCCCCAGAUCUGUGCAGGCUCCGCCCACAGAAGAGCUCCAAGAAAGGCUAAGCGCAGAAACUGUACAAGAGAGAAACUCUGCAUUACGGGGAUCUGCAUGGAGCGUGUGCACUGAUGAAAGUCCCCUGGAAACAGUAUCCACUAGGAAAGGUUCCAGGACAACCGGAGGACCGUCCUGCUUGAUGGAGUGUUAUUCUACAUUUACUGUGUUUGACCAGCAGGUGGAGCUAUAUCAACUUCCCCAGCACCAUGGCAACAGGAGUGUUCCCCUUCAGAGCAGAGCCAUUGGAUCAGAUGGGCCGCUUUGGACUCAUAGUGAUUUGAGCAAACUCAAAGCUGGACUCAAGCUGUUCCUCAACAUAUUAAACAACCAACCCUGAACUAUAAACCCUGUGAUGUUAAAGACAAACACUUGAGAGCUAACUGGACUGAGGCUCAUCUAGACACACACACACAUCAAACUGUUUUUCUUUUAUAGUUCGUGUCCAUCUUUGUGAGAAGUAAUAUCGGUUGUCUGUCUCGCUCUAGUGUUAUUGCAGUUACAGUCCAGGCUACAGUUUGAUCUGUUCAAACCAUCCGGAAGUGAAACUCCCAUGAGCAAUGUCUCACGAGGUUCUAAUGAAGAAGUAGGUGCUGUUUGAGAAAUGUUGUAAAUUACGUGACAUUAUUUUUGAAGACUAAGUUGCCAAAUAGAAUUCAUUUCGUAUUGUGUA
This is a long non-coding RNA of Carassius gibelio (silver crucian carp), 1384 nucleotides long. RefSeq lists it as uncharacterized. The transcript has 4 exons. Lineage: Eukaryota; Metazoa; Chordata; Actinopteri; Cypriniformes; Cyprinidae. The record is from RefSeq and is a predicted model, not a curated record.